Molecule: ribosomal RNA, 1563 nt
Filed under: Enterococcus durans IPLA 655
Lineage: Bacteria; Bacillati; Bacillota; Bacilli; Lactobacillales; Enterococcaceae
Description: bacterial SSU rRNA
Rfam family: Bacterial small subunit ribosomal RNA
Source: RNAcentral
UGAGAGUUUGAUCCUGGCUCAGGACGAACGCUGGCGGCGUGCCUAAUACAUGCAAGUCGUACGCUUCUUUUUCCACCGGAGCUUGCUCCACCGGAAAAAGAAGAGUGGCGAACGGGUGAGUAACACGUGGGUAACCUGCCCAUCAGAAGGGGAUAACACUUGGAAACAGGUGCUAAUACCGUAUAACAAUCGAAACCGCAUGGUUUUGAUUUGAAAGGCGCUUUCGGGUGUCGCUGAUGGAUGGACCCGCGGUGCAUUAGCUAGUUGGUGAGGUAACGGCUCACCAAGGCCACGAUGCAUAGCCGACCUGAGAGGGUGAUCGGCCACAUUGGGACUGAGACACGGCCCAAACUCCUACGGGAGGCAGCAGUAGGGAAUCUUCGGCAAUGGACGAAAGUCUGACCGAGCAACGCCGCGUGAGUGAAGAAGGUUUUCGGAUCGUAAAACUCUGUUGUUAGAGAAGAACAAGGAUGAGAGUAACUGUUCAUCCCUUGACGGUAUCUAACCAGAAAGCCACGGCUAACUACGUGCCAGCAGCCGCGGUAAUACGUAGGUGGCAAGCGUUGUCCGGAUUUAUUGGGCGUAAAGCGAGCGCAGGCGGUUUCUUAAGUCUGAUGUGAAAGCCCCCGGCUCAACCGGGGAGGGUCAUUGGAAACUGGGAGACUUGAGUGCAGAAGAGGAGAGUGGAAUUCCAUGUGUAGCGGUGAAAUGCGUAGAUAUAUGGAGGAACACCAGUGGCGAAGGCGGCUCUCUGGUCUGUAACUGACGCUGAGGCUCGAAAGCGUGGGGAGCAAACAGGAUUAGAUACCCUGGUAGUCCACGCCGUAAACGAUGAGUGCUAAGUGUUGGAGGGUUUCCGCCCUUCAGUGCUGCAGCUAACGCAUUAAGCACUCCGCCUGGGGAGUACGACCGCAAGGUUGAAACUCAAAGGAAUUGACGGGGGCCCGCACAAGCGGUGGAGCAUGUGGUUUAAUUCGAAGCAACGCGAAGAACCUUACCAGGUCUUGACAUCCUUUGACCACUCUAGAGAUAGAGCUUCCCCUUCGGGGGCAAAGUGACAGGUGGUGCAUGGUUGUCGUCAGCUCGUGUCGUGAGAUGUUGGGUUAAGUCCCGCAACGAGCGCAACCCUUAUUGUUAGUUGCCAUCAUUCAGUUGGGCACUCUAGCAAGACUGCCGGUGACAAACCGGAGGAAGGUGGGGAUGACGUCAAAUCAUCAUGCCCCUUAUGACCUGGGCUACACACGUGCUACAAUGGGAAGUACAACGAGUCGCGAAGUCGCGAGGCUAAGCUAAUCUCUUAAAGCUUCUCUCAGUUCGGAUUGUAGGCUGCAACUCGCCUACAUGAAGCCGGAAUCGCUAGUAAUCGCGGAUCAGCACGCCGCGGUGAAUACGUUCCCGGGCCUUGUACACACCGCCCGUCACACCACGAGAGUUUGUAACACCCGAAGUCGGUGAGGUAACCUUUUGGAGCCAGCCGCCUAAGGUGGGAUAGAUGAUUGGGGUGAAGUCGUAACAAGGUAGCCGUAUCGGAAGGUGCGGCUGGAUCACCUCCUUUCUAAGGAA